This is a long non-coding RNA of Gadus macrocephalus (Pacific cod), 1701 nucleotides long. RefSeq lists it as uncharacterized. The transcript has 5 exons. The record is from RefSeq and is a predicted model, not a curated record. NCBI's taxonomy places the organism in Eukaryota, Metazoa, Chordata, Actinopteri, Gadiformes, Gadidae.
CGUGUACUUUGCGGCCAAUGGAUUUUCGUUUUGAAAUGAGAAAACCAAAAUCGGGAAACGAGCUGUUUCCCGAUUACCAUAUAGAGAUAGGAAAACAAAAAUCCGAAAAUGACCCAUUUUCCGAAUUUUGUUUUGAUAAUAGAAAACGGAAAACGGUAAAACGACCAGUUAUCUGAUUUUCUUUGAUGUGCUUAAACAUGGACAUCGGGAAUUAAAAUACUGCGUGGAAAUCUUCUUUCUCAAUUUUGCGAAUAUUUUUGUGUUGUGACCCGGAAGCUAUCAGUAGUUGGCGCGCGGUGUAUUUAAUUUGGAGCCAAGCUAUCAGUAGUUGGCGGUGUAUUUAAUUUGGAGCCAGACAUCCUUGAGACACACCUCAAAAUGGCAUUGCACGAAUAUGCAGGUUUUAUUUCAGAACACCGAAAUAAUGGAAUGUCCUGUGGGGAUAUCGCCACUGCGUUAUGCACCCAGUUUGGAACUACACGGGGGUUUUCCGAGAGGAAUGUGCGGAGGUGGUGUGCUGAGCAGGGGCUUGUCAGGGACUUCUGCCCUGAUAGUCAACUUGAAGUUGAAGUCGCUGAAGGUAUUCUCGAGACUGGAUCGUCUUUUGGUCGAAAAAUGAUGACUGGAUAUCUAUCCGCAAAAGGGGUUAAAGCUUCUGAAGGCAGAGUGGGCAAUGUGUUGAGAAGUAUUCAUCAACCCUACCACAUUGCAAGACAGCAGGGUGCCCGGAAUCUGAACCCCAUACCCUACAAUGCAGAAUACAUGGGUCACAAGCUGCAUGUAGAUCAGAAUGAGAAGCUUGUUAUGUUUGGAGUGACUCAUGUUAUGGCUAUCGAUGGUUUCAGCAAGAAGGUGGUCGGUCACUCCACCAUGCCAAUAAAGAACAACAUCGUGAUUUAUGAGGAAGGGUACCGGUAAAUUAACUUCACAGACUUUGUAAGGUGGAACCCAAAGUUGUCUCCUUAGGAUGACCCAGACUUGAACAAGUACAUUAAAAAAGGUUAAAACCUAGAUUUGUAAUAUGGAAAUAAUUAAUUUGGAAAAAACAAAAAACUUUUUCCCUCUUCCAGUUUCUUAGUUAAUUUUCCAGUUUUACUAUUAUUGAUAUCAUUCCAAUUUUGACAAAAAAAUGUAAUUGUCACUUUAGCUGGCCAUGGCUAAGAGACUGAUGCUGUUUAUGUAUAUUUUACGUUUGUCGGUGAUUUAUCUUCAGGCCUGCUGUUCUUUCCUAUGGAAUAUGGGACCAGGUCAGAGUUGACUGUGGGAAAGAAUUCUAUCUGGCUUUAUUCAUCCAGGAAAAACUGGCAGAACAUCGACACAAUACUCAAAGGCAGCCCUACCUUCAGACACCUUCUACAAGGAACCAUGUGAUAGAGAGAAUGUGGUCGGAGGUGAAUGCUCGAGUCAACUACCCUUUGAAGACAGCUCUGGUACAGCUGGUGGACCAGGAGGAACUGGACAUGGAGGACAACACAUCCAGGUAUUGUGUGUCAAACCUGACAUGCCAGCUGGCUAGGAUUGGCAUCACAAAUGUACAGGCAUGGAAUGCACACAGGAUCCCAGGAAGGGGAAUACCAAACGAACUGGCUAAAGAAGGGUGUCCUGCAAAACUUUCUGAGGACCUUCUGCCAGUCGGUGCAGUUGCAGCUGACCUGUAUCAGCAGGAAAUGGGAUCAGCCUUGAAAAGAGAAUCCAUUUUUG